CAGUCGCCGCGGGAAAACGAAGGGGGCUAGCGUUGCUCGGAAUGACUGGGCGUAAAGGGCGCGUAGGCGGAUGGCACAGUCAGAUGUGAAAUUCCCGGGCUUAACCUGGGGGCUGCAUUUGAUACGUGUUGUCUAGAGUGAGGAAGAGGGUCGUGGAAUUCCCAGUGUAGAGGUGAAAUUCGUAGAUAUUGGGAAGAACACCGGUGGCGAAGGCGGCGACCUGGUCCUUUACUGACGCUGAGGCGCGAAAGCGUGAGGAGCAAACAGGAUUAGAUACCCGUGUAGUCCCUGUCUCUUAUAC
Molecule: ribosomal RNA, 301 nt
Filed under: uncultured bacterium
Lineage: Bacteria
Description: partial 16S ribosomal RNA
Rfam family: Bacterial small subunit ribosomal RNA
Source: RNAcentral